This is a long non-coding RNA of Capsicum annuum, 667 nucleotides long. RefSeq lists it as uncharacterized. The record is from RefSeq and is a predicted model, not a curated record. NCBI's taxonomy places the organism in Eukaryota, Viridiplantae, Streptophyta, Magnoliopsida, Solanales, Solanaceae. The transcript has 3 exons.
UUCUUGACUCCUAUGCAAGUGUGUGUGUUUUUGAAUAUCCAAAAAUGAAAAAUUUAUGGUGUUUAAUUACUAAAAAGGGAUUAAUUACCCGAGGAAAACGAAUAGUUUCCAUCAAAAGAUAGAAAAUGACUUGCUUCAUUUAUGGACGGAAGUCAUUUCUUAAAUUUUAACUUCAUGCUAUUUGCUUCAAAUAACACUUGGACAUUAUUAUUAAUUUUUAUUACUCAAAAUUGAUAGAAAUAUUAGCAAAUUUGAGAGUUUUGUCUAAGUUAUUGGAGUGAGUAAUAUGAAGUCAAACGGUAGAGUAUCAUUUUUGUAGUUCUUUUUUGAAAAGCUGUCACUGCAGGGGAAGAAUGUUCUGAAAAACUUCAAUAUAGAAGAAGGACAACUGAAUGAUUAUGGGUUUAUACUCUCGCAAUAUAAUGUUUUAAUAGAAUCCCAUCUUGAAAUUCACUUGUACUGGAGUGGUAAUGGCUCCACCGUCUACCCACAGAACUAUGGUCCCCUCAUUGCAGCUAUUUCUGUAGAGCCAGGCUGGGAUAGCAGGAUCAUCACUGGUUUUCCUUACUCUACUUUUGCUUGUACUCUGGAAAUUGGGUUAUCUCGGCGGCCAAAGAUCAUCAAAGGAAGAACUAAAAGCAACUGAAUUGUUCCCCGGAAGAGUUUA